Molecule: long non-coding RNA, 335 nt
Organism: Anolis sagrei ordinatus
Lineage: Eukaryota; Metazoa; Chordata; Lepidosauria; Squamata; Anolidae
Source: RefSeq, a predicted model, not a curated record
AUGAAGCAUACAAUGUUCACCAUCCAGCCCACAAGUCUUUUGCAACUGAUAUCCCCAGCCAGUGACUGCAGAGUAUUAUUGAAUCUUUGAGUUCCUUGCACUGGAAUUUGCAAUCUGGAAAGCUAGAAAAUUGCGCUUUGAAUGCUUGUUUGGAAAUUAUCAAAACCGUCACUUUAGCCACCACUCGAGGAGAAGAAACAGCAAAUGAAGAGCCAUAGGCAUAUGCCUUCUGCCUCUGAAAUCACAGCUGGCUUCACAACUCUUCUCUGUUCCCCCGCUGCCUCCUAUGCCACAGAGCAGAUGUAUAUGGUGGAGAAGGAGGAUAAGAAUGGCUG